Molecule: transfer RNA, 68 nt
Filed under: Scaphisoma boleti
Lineage: Eukaryota; Metazoa; Arthropoda; Insecta; Coleoptera; Staphylinidae
Description: tRNA-Ile
Source: RNAcentral
AGUAAAGUGCCUGAAUUUAUAAAAGGAUUAUUUUGAUAGAAUAAAUCAUGUACCUUGUACCUUUACUA